RNAcentral lists this ribosomal RNA (207 nucleotides) under uncultured bacterium. RNAcentral describes it as "partial 16S ribosomal RNA". It matches the Rfam family "Bacterial small subunit ribosomal RNA", at positions 568 to 774 of the family's 1533-position model. The record is from RNAcentral.
CGCGUAGGCGGUUCGACAAGCGAGAUGUGAAAGCCCCGGGCUUAACCUGGGAACGGCAUUUCGAACUGUCGGGCUAGAGUAUGGUAGAGGGUAGUGGAAUUUCCUGUGUAGCGGUGAAAUGCGUAGAUAUAGGAAGGAACACCAGUGGCGAAGGCGGCUUUCUGGCCCAAUACUGACACUCAUGUGCGAAAGCGGGGGGAGCAAACA